Molecule: ribosomal RNA, 449 nt
Filed under: uncultured bacterium
Lineage: Bacteria
Description: bacterial SSU rRNA
Rfam family: Bacterial small subunit ribosomal RNA
Source: RNAcentral
AACGAACGCUGGCGGCAUGCCUAACACAUGCAAGUCGAACGAGACCUUCGGGUCUAGUGGCGCACGGGUGCGUAACGCGUGGGAAUCUGCCCUUUGCUUCGGAAUAACACAGAGAAAUUUGUGCUAAUACCGGAUAAUGUCGCAAGACCAAAGAUUUAUCGGCAAAGGAUGAGCCCGCGUAAGAUUAGGUAGUUGGUGGGGUAAUGGCCCACCAAGCCGACGAUCUUUAGCUGGUCUGAGAGGAUGAUCAGCCACACUGGGACUGAGACACGGCCCAGACUCCUACGGGAGGCAGCAGUGGGGAAUAUUGGACAAUGGGCGAAAGCCUGAUCCAGCAAUGCCGCGUGAGUGAUGAAGGCCUUAGGGUGUAAAGCUCUUUUACCCGGGAUGAUAAUGACAGUACCGGGAGAAUAAGCUCCGGCUAACUCCGUGCCAGCAGCCGCGGUAAU